UUCUGGCUCAGAACGAACGCUGGCGGCAGGCCUAACACAUGCAAGUCGAGCGUGAAAGGGGCUUCGGCCCUGAGUAAAGCGGCGCACGGGUGAGUAACACGUGAAUAAUCUGCCCUCGAGACCGGGAUAACAGACCGAAAGGACUGCUAAUACCGGAUAAGCCCCCACACCGAACCGGGUGGGAGGGAAAAGUACGGGAACCUUCGGGUCCGUGCGCUAGAGGAUGAGUUCGCGUCCCAUUAGAUAGUUGGCGGGGUAAUGGCCCACCAAGUCGACGAUGGGUAGCUGGUCUUGGAGGAUGAUCAGCCACACUGGAACUGAGACACGGUCCAGACUCCUACGGGAGGCAGCAGUGGGGAAUCUUGCGCAAUGGAGGAAACUCUGACGCAGCCAUGCCCGCGUGAGUGAUGAAGGCCCUCGGGUUGUAAAGCUCUGUCUAAGGGGACGAACGGCCGUUUUUCCAACAGGAGGACGGCGUGACGGUACCCUUAAAGAAAACACCGGCUAACUCCGUGCCAGCCGCUGC
This 526-nucleotide ribosomal RNA is filed under the name uncultured bacterium. RNAcentral's name for it is "bacterial SSU rRNA". It matches the Rfam family "Bacterial small subunit ribosomal RNA", at positions 17 to 518 of the family's 1533-position model. The record is from RNAcentral.